RNAcentral lists this long non-coding RNA (893 nucleotides) under Cricetulus griseus (Chinese hamster). Its description in RNAcentral is "lncRNA (ENSCGRG00015037941.1)". Lineage: Eukaryota; Metazoa; Chordata; Mammalia; Rodentia; Cricetidae. The record is from RNAcentral.
CACAGAGGCGCUUCAGAUAAAUGGAAGCUGGAAACAGACUGCUUCCUGUGAGGCUGGUGAAACGGCACCACCUCCUGUCUCCUCUACCGAAUACUUUGUCCCCCAGGCACCCUUGCAGUCAGGCUUCACCUUCAUUGUCCUCCUUUACCAAGAACGAAGGAAAAGUUUCCAUCUGUAGAGCAUGAAAACAAACAUAGCUUCCUCAGCCGAUGGAUGGAUGGGCUUGGUGAAGCCUAUUUCCUGAGUCGUGAUGAGUGCUGGUUGAGAUGGCCCUAGCUGCCUCUUCGGACUGUGACAGACUCACCCAACAGCAGCACCCUGAACAUUCCACAGCCAGUGGAGCACAGGGGGUUAAGGAUUCAGAACCUUUCUCUCCAACAGAGGAGAAAAUAGUGCCACUUCCGGGGCACUUGAAGGACAGAUUGCUGGGGAUGGGACUGCAAUCGGGCCUCGGAGAGGGAGAAGUGAUUGCUGCCCUCAUUAAUAUUACUGCUGGCAAAGGCUGCGUGGGACUCAAUCAGAUGCCAUUGCCCCAGACACAGGAAGUAACUAAGAACAUGACACCCACAUUCCCAAGAGAGCAAGAUGGAAACACUGGGGCUGGAGAGAUGCCUCAGAGGUUAAGAGCAUUGACUGCUCUUCCAGAGGUCCUGAGUUCAAUUCCCAGCAACCACAUGGUGGCUCACAAGCAUCCGUUAUGAGAUCUGGUGCCCUCUUCUGUUGUGCAGAUAUACAUGGAAGCAGAAUGUUGUAUACAUAAUAAAUAAAUAAAAUCUAAAAAAAAAAAAAAAGAUGGGAACACUCAGCUCUUCCUGCUACUAUACUAUGUCUUCACUCUACCAUCAUGGACUCCAGCCCUCUGAAACCAUAAGGCAAAUUAAACACUUUCUUAU